This 1395-nucleotide ribosomal RNA is filed under the name Triticum aestivum (bread wheat). RNAcentral describes it as "partial small subunit ribosomal RNA". The record is from RNAcentral. Lineage: Eukaryota; Viridiplantae; Streptophyta; Magnoliopsida; Poales; Poaceae.
AUGAUGGAGGACAAUGAGGUUGAUAGGCUCAGCAAGUUGCCUGAUGACGUUUUGCUCAACAUUGUGGAGCGACUUGAAAUCGCUGAUGCUGCACGAACUACCAUCCUCUCCACACGUUGGAAACAGAUCCCUGCUAUACUCUCAAAGGUUGUUAUCGUGGUUGGUUCUUUUGAGCCCAAGCACGAAAGGAGGAAGAUAACCUCAGAUGAUAUAGUUCGGGCCAACGCCACCGUGCUGGAAGCUGCUAGGUGCAUACUGGGAAGGAGGGCUGGGAGUCUAUCCACCAUUCACCUGUUGUGCAUGCAAUUCUACUUGGGAGAUGAGUCUGUUUUCAUUGGCCAGACUGUUGCCAACACCAUAGCAACACAAAAGGUCGCUUCAGUUGAUUUUACAAUCAUGACGAAGGUGCGCAGAAAUUGUUCCGUUGAUGAACUGCUCACUUAUGGGAGGCAGUUCAUGUCAUUCUUUGGUUCGUGUCCAAACACAUUUGGUGGUCUUGCACGCCUCACGCUAGAGAAUUUGAGGUUGGGUGAAUCAGACUUCCCCAAAAUUUUCAGUAUUUGCAAUCAACUGGAGUUCCUCCGUUUCCAACAGUGUGAUGCGGGGAAUAUGUCUUUGCUGGAAGUGGAACACGAACAGCUCCGUGAAUUACUGAUUUUUUGUAGCAGUAUUAAGAGGGUUGCUCUGAAGUGUGUACCAAAGCUCACAAUACUGAAAAUUAAUGCUUUUAUGUCUCCAGAAGACCCCUUCUGUCUGGGCUAUGUCCCACUGCUUCAGACUGUGACCAUCAUUAAUACUGGUCUUUCGCGGCACAAGAUGCUCAAGUUAAGCGAGUUGCUGGGUAAGACCGCCAUAAGCACCCUCCAUUUGAACUUCAAAUGUGAAAAGAUUUGGGUGAAACCAGAAGGUCGAAAGCAAUUGCUACCGGUGUUCCACAAACUAAGGCUUGUGAAUUUGAUCAACAUUUCUGAAGAAUGUGAUCUGACUUGGACGAUGUUCAUACUCCAAGGUGCACCCGCCCUUAAGGAACUAUGCAUCAUGGUGAGGGAUCAUUUAUGUGAAAUGACAACCGGGGAGGUGAGGAAGAGGUUUACGUACAGCGAGAAGAAGGACAAAGGACUAGAGUGGGAACCAUCUUCCCCUGAUUUCAAGCACCACAAUCUGGCUGAGCUCAGGAUCUAUGGGUUUCAGGCAGAAGACAGAUUCAUGAGGUAUGCCAGAAAUGUCAUGGAGGCAGCGGUGAACCUGGAGGCCAUGAACCUAUAUAGAAAUCCAGGGUGUGACAAGUGCAAGCACACGCUUUCAGGUCAGUGGACAUGGACGGAGAUGUUGUUGAUCAGAAACAAAAUAAACAAUGGGAUGUCGUCACAUGCCAGGAUUCACUUCCCGAGUUGA